GGGCCCGCACAAGCGGUGGAGCAUGUGGUUUAAUUCGAUGAUACGCGAGGAACCUUACCAGGGCUUAAAUGUAGAGUGACAGGUCUAGAGAUAGAUUUUUCUUCGGACACUUUACAAGGUGCUGCAUGGUUGUCGUCAGCUCGUGCCGUGAGGUGUCAGGUUAAGUCCUAUAACGAGCGCAACCCCUAUCGUUAGUUGCCAGCAAGUAAAGUUGGGGACUCUAGCGAGACUGCCGGUGCAAACCGUGAGGAAGGUGGGGAUGACGUCAAAUCAUCACGGCCCUUACGUCCUGGGCUACACACGUGCUACAAUGGUAUGGACAAUGAGCAGCCACAACGCGAGUUGGAGCGAA
This 352-nucleotide ribosomal RNA is filed under the name uncultured bacterium. RNAcentral describes it as "bacterial SSU rRNA". It matches the Rfam family "Bacterial small subunit ribosomal RNA", at positions 917 to 1271 of the family's 1533-position model. The record is from RNAcentral.